This is a long non-coding RNA of Aedes albopictus (Asian tiger mosquito), 2143 nucleotides long. RefSeq lists it as uncharacterized. The transcript is spliced from 3 exons. The record is from RefSeq and is a predicted model, not a curated record. Lineage: Eukaryota; Metazoa; Arthropoda; Insecta; Diptera; Culicidae.
UCGGUCGCACCUCCUUUGGCAAGCCCCUCUUGUUUUAUUGUAAUCGCACUUUGGUGAACCCCUUGAACGGGCGAAAUGAGCGAACUGUCAACGUACUGUCACUGAGCUAACUGUCAAGCGACUUGCUUGUUUAUAAACAUUAAAAGUGUUCUGCUGGUUCUGCUCGUUCUGCUUUUUGCUACAAAAAUUUGUAAUUUAUCAAACCGGUCAAGGUAGAAUCCCGGAAUAGCGAAAAAAUAGAACCUCCGGAGAGUUUCCAUCCCUUCUACGAAACGGGGUAAACGACGAUGAGGACAUUUUUGAUCCGGCAUUCGUGAAUUACGUGAUGGCGCACAGACCGAACCGGCUAGGAGCGCAUCUGAUCAUGUGCAACGGAGGGUUCUUCGUGAAUAACAACCCCUAGGAGGUCUCUCGAAACAGCUGUAUUUGUGGUGCUGCUGACGGUGGCAGUAAUCCGAGCAGGAGAAAACGCUAUUAUGAAGGCAUUUGAUCUGGCGUACAUGAUUCUGACCAACAGCGAUUAUUACAUUUUCCACCUGAUGGCCUGAAGACGAUGAAGAGGACACAUUUUUUUCAAUUUCAAACGUAAUUCCAACGAGGACUUGGCCCACCGACAGAUCCAGUAAGUGACUAAAGGGCUUCAACGACAACGAUUGAAGAAAAUUGCUUUCGUCAAUCGCAAAUACGGAUCGAAUGAUCGGUUCAUGGACCCUGUAGUGUCACUAAAAAUUGUAACAAAAACGAGUCUCCCCGAUGGAUGGAUUCGCCUUCGCGAUAUAUGCGUCAGGACAGCGUAGAAAUGUUUGGAACGACCGUUGCAUAAGUGAUCAAGGUAAACGCAUUCGGACAGCGUUUCUGAGCAACGGCAAUGUGUUCUACUACGAUCGGGACACAUCCGGUUGAACGCAAAUUAAGAACAUCCAAGUGAUUUUAUCGCCGCGGAUGGUUUUAUACGGGGAAAUUGGAGGAAAGUUCCGCUGAGGAUAAGAAGCAGAAAAUCGCCCACGUGUUAAACAUCAUCGAUGCUAUGCUCCUGGAAUGUCUGGAGUCUCGCUGUCUACCACUCGACAAACGGAAUGUCCACUGCAACAAAUUCGCCACAGCCAUAAUCGACUGCUGAUCCAUCAAAAUGCUUCCGCUGUUCGGCCGGUCCCGGCCCGGCGCAAGACUUAACUUCCGACGAUGAAACUAGAUGGCUUCUUCAGCAAUGUCUUGAUGCACGAGUUCAUCGUCGGCACCAAAGGGCUCGGAAGCGACUUGGAGCCGUUCGAUGGGGUGGAAACUUCGCAGUUCUAUAUUCCCCGAGGGCCGAUCUUCGUGCGGAGUGUACUGACCGGCUCGAAGUGAAUCGAGAAGCAGCUGGAUUUUAGGAAGGUUUUUAGCAGUAGGAUCCCGUGGGCCUGGAGCAAAACCAGCCAGAUUUACUCGUCGGCGCAAUGGUUCGAGGCGCCCAAAGAACCGAUCCUGGUCUACCGGCAGGAUUUCGAUGAGUUGAGAAAUAUGCAUCGAUAAGAAGUGAGUGAUGCUAAGUGUAAAGUAGUUUUAGAAGCAAACUGCAGUUUUUGAAUUAGAGUUUCAGUCUCUAUAUUAGACAUGUUAUUAUUUUGCGAUCAAAUGUUCUCGAUCUCGAUAUAAAUGUUGUUAGGUACUCUACUGCCUCCACUCGCAUAACAGUCCCAUUUGACUUUUCUCCACAUUUGAGUUAACGUCAUUUUCGAUGUACAGUAGACGUUCGCUCGGUGCAAACGCUUUAACUGCAAUGCUUUUUAACUGCAAGUCCGCUAAGUGCAACAAUUUUGCAGUUAUCGCACCGCUAUCCGUCAAAAUGAAAUGUCAACAGCGAUGCGAUGUAUUUCGCAUGCACUUUUGUUGCAAUGCGAUGUUUUUCGUAUGCACAUUGGUUGCAUUCUGCAGCAACUGACAGUUAUGCGACGUCUGUCAGUUGUUGCAGUUAUCGAAUUUCAUUCGGUAAGUGAAACGUAAACAUGUUGCACUUAUCUAACGUCUACUGUACCUCCGAAAACCAUAAUAAAAAUUACGAAUUUUUAUGUCAAUGUAUGAAAAAAAAUACCAAGUCAUGAGCGUCCCAUACCCGCGUAACAGUCCCAUUCUGGAUUGUUGUGUCUUGUAAUACAAAACUGAA